Molecule: long non-coding RNA, 544 nt
Organism: Manduca sexta (tobacco hornworm)
Lineage: Eukaryota; Metazoa; Arthropoda; Insecta; Lepidoptera; Sphingidae
Exons: 2
Source: RefSeq, a predicted model, not a curated record
UUGACAAGUCGACAGCGACAGAUGACCUGCUAUUUCAAUAAUAAAUACAUAACCUAAAAUUUUAAAUUAGAGUAAAUAGUAGUUUUUGUUUAAUAUAAACAUAACUUUGUUCUGCUUGGUAUUACAUUACAUAUUACAUUAAUAAAUUUAUUGUGUUACAACUUACAGAAACAGAAAAUCUACAGACCCUAGUACUUACUGCUUUCAAAACAUUAAACAUGGUAUCUGAGAUGAAAUUCAUUAUAUCAGAAAACGAAAAAGUAAUCCAUACUAUAACUAAAGAAACAAAUUCACUGACUCUAGUAAAAACAUUGGAAGAGUUUCAACAUGCAGUGAACACAAAACUAACCAAGAUGAUUGAGGAACUUGGUGGUACUGUAGGUGAUGAAGACAUGGAAAGUGAAAGUGAAGAUUGUGAUGAUGAUGAGAAUGAAGACAUAUCAAUAUUACCCAAAAAAAGGAGAAAAUAAAGUUAUGUAAUUUUUUUUAAAUUUUAUAUGUGUAAAUAUGAAAAUAAAAGUACUGAUAAACUAAAUAAAUUAAA